AGAGUUUGAUCAUGGCUCAGAACGUACGCUGGCGGCACGCCUAACACAUGCAAGUCGAACGAAGUAGCAAUACUUAGUGGCAGACGGGUGAGUAACAUGUAGGUAUCUACCCUUUGGCCCGGAAUAACACGAGGAAACUUGUGCUAAUACCGGAUAAGUCUUUACGGAGAAAGCUUUAUGCACCAUUGGAUGAGCCUGCACUUGAUUAGUUUGUUGGUAGGGUAAUGGCCUACCAAGACUUUGAUCAAUAGCUGAUUUGAGAGGAUGAUCAGCCACAUUGGGACUGAGACACGGCCCAAACUCCUACGGGAGGCAGCAGUGGGGAAUCUUGCACAAUGGAGGAAACUCUGAUGCAGCGAUGCCGCGUGAGUGAAGAAGGCCCUUGGGUUGUAAAGCUCUUUCGUCGGGGAAGAAAAUGACUGUACCCGAAUAAGAAGGUCCGGCUAACUUCGUGCCAGCAGCCGCGGUAAUACGAAGGGACCUAGCGUAGUUCGGAAUUACUGGGCUUAAAGAGUUCGUAGGUGGUUGAAAAAGUUGGUGGUGAAAUCCCAGAGCUUAACUCUGGAACUGCCAUCAAAACUUUUCAGCUAGAGUUUGAUAGAGGAAAGCAGAAUUUCUAGUGUAGAGGUGAAAUUCGUAGAUAUUAGAAAGAAUACCAAUUGCGAAGGCAGCUUUCUGGAUCAUUACUGACACUGAGGAACGAAAGCAUGGGUAGCGAAGAGGAUUAGAUACCC
Molecule: ribosomal RNA, 734 nt
Filed under: uncultured bacterium
Lineage: Bacteria
Description: bacterial SSU rRNA
Rfam family: Bacterial small subunit ribosomal RNA
Source: RNAcentral